This 1861-nucleotide ribosomal RNA is filed under the name seawater metagenome. RNAcentral's name for it is "bacterial LSU rRNA". It matches the Rfam family "Bacterial large subunit ribosomal RNA", at positions 1 to 1976 of the family's 2925-position model. The record is from RNAcentral.
UCAAGCGUGAGGUAAGAGCAUUUGGUGGAUGCCUUGGCAUGUGCAGGCGAUGAAGGACGUGGCACGCUGCGAUAAGCGUCGGGGAGAUGUGAGCAAUCUUUGAUCCGGCGAUUUCCGAAUGGGGAAACCCACCCUCACCAUUUCCUUUCGUUCGACCUUCGGGUCGGCCGGAAAGAGGUGGAUAGGGUAUCACCAGACUGAAUACAUAGGUUUGGUGAAGCGAACCCGGGGAACUGAAACAUCUCAGUACCCGGAGGAAAAGACAUCAACAGAGAUUCCCGUAGUAGUGGCGAGCGAACCGGGACCAGGCCAGUGCUUCUUCGUUAGUUAACCGAACACUUUGGAAAGAGUGGCCAUAGCGGGUGACAGCCCCGUAGGUGAAAACAAUCGAAGAAGACUCGAGUAGGGCGGGACACGUGAAAUCCUGUCUGAACAUGGGGGGACCACCCUCCAAGCCUAAAUACUCGCACAUGACCGAUAGCGAACAAGUACCGUGAGGGAAAGGUGAAAAGCACCCCGAUUAGGGGAGUGAAACAGUACCUGAAACCGAAUGCUUACAAGCAGUUGGAGCCCCAUAGGGGGUGACAGCGUACCUCUUGCAUAAUGGGUCAGUGACUUAAUUUAUCGAGCAAGCUUAAGCCGUUAGGUGUAGGCGCAGCGAAAGCGAGUCUGAAUAGGGCGACUGAGUUCGAUGAAUUAGACCCGAACCCCGGCGAUCUAGGCAUGGCCAGGUUGAAGGUGCAGUAACAUGCACUGGAGGACCGAACCGGUGAAUGUUGAAAAAUUCUCGGAUGAGCUGUGUUUAGGGGUGAAAGGCCAAUCAAGCCGGGAAAUAGCUGGUUCUCCGCGAAAUCUAUUGAGGUAGAGCGUCGGAUGUAUGCCGAUGGGGGUAGAGCACUGGAUGGGCUAGGGCUGCGCGAGCGGUACCAAACCUAACCAAACUCCGAAUACCAUCGAGUCUUAUCCGGCAGACAGACGGCGGGUGCUAAGGUCCGUCGUCAAAAGGGAAACAGCCCUAACCUACAGCUAAGGUCCCCAAGUCAUAUCUAAGUGGGAAAGCAUGUGGGAAUCCCAAAACAACCAGGAGGUUGGCUUAGAAGCAGCCAUCCUUUAAAGAAAGCGUAACAGCUCACUGGUCUAAAUAAGGGCUCCUGCGGCGAAGAUGUAACGGGGCUAAAGAUAUGCACCGAAGCUUAGGGUUCAGAAUUUAUUCUGAGCGGUAGCGGAGCGUUCCGUAAGUGGUUGAAGCCGAAGGGUAACCGACGGUGGACAUAUCGGAAGUGCGAAUGCUGACAUGAGUAGCGACAAACAGGGUGAGAUGCCCUGUCGCCGAAAGACCAAGGGUUCCUGCUCAACGCUAAUCGGAGCAGGGUUAGCCGGCCCCUAAGACGAGCCCGAAGGGGGUAGUCGAUGGGAACCACGUAAAUAUUCGUGGGCCUGAAGAUGUGUGACGGAUCGUGGAAGUUGUUCGACCUUAUUGGAUUGGUCGGGCAGCCAAGCGGUUCCAGGAAAUAGCCUCUUCAAUAUAGACCGUACCCGAAACCGACACAGGUGGUCAGGUAGAGUAUACCAAGGCGCUUGAGAGAAGUAUCCUGAAGGAACUCGGCAAAUUGCCUCCGUACCUUCGGAAGAAGGAGGCCCUCUCAUUACGCAAGUAGUGUGGAGGGGGCACAGGCCAGGGGGUAGCGACUGUUUAGCAAAAACACAGCACUCUGCUAAGUCGGCUUCAAGACGACGUAUAGGGUGUGACGCCUGCCCGGUGCUCGAAGGUUAAGAGGAGGAGUGCAAGCUCCGAAUUGAAGCCCGAGUAAACGGCGGCCGUAACUAUAACGGUCCUAAGGUAGCGAAAUUCCUUGUCGGG